This 207-nucleotide ribosomal RNA is filed under the name Diemenoma commoda. RNAcentral's name for it is "partial 28S ribosomal RNA". Lineage: Eukaryota; Metazoa; Arthropoda; Insecta; Coleoptera; Tenebrionidae. The record is from RNAcentral.
GGACCAAGGAGUCUAGCGUGGUUUUGCGAGUACCUUGGGACAUGANUAAACCUGACCCCCAGGCGCAAUUACAAGCUGAAGGUUCGUCCUCGGAGCCCAAGGGCCGAUGGCCAACUGUGACCUUCUGUGCUAUUGCCUCGCGUUCUCCUGGACGUCUCUAUUCUUAUNGCCAAAAGAUGCUCACUAACAGCGUACACGCUGGGACCC